RNAcentral lists this long non-coding RNA (11693 nucleotides) under Coffea arabica (coffee). Its description in RNAcentral is "long non-coding RNA (CARA_LNC002744)". The record is from RNAcentral. Lineage: Eukaryota; Viridiplantae; Streptophyta; Magnoliopsida; Gentianales; Rubiaceae.
GCGAGCCGGGAGAGUACGAGGUCGGAGUAGCUGUCGUAUGGCGGCUUUAUGACGGAUGAAUGAGGAUGCAGGGAGAGGGACAAAACGGAGGAGGUGGAGGUGGGCUGAGUUUCUUCUGUUGACAAGAGUCGAAGUCUCUUGAAAACUGAAGCAGACACCACUUGAGGUGAAAAAGGACUGAGGGUGAAGGAGAAGAAGAAGAAGAUGAUGAUGAAGAUGUUAAUGGAAGGAAAUGGGCUUGGAGCUUUUCGAGCCAUGUAAAUGUUUGUGGUUUUUGCCGCAGCAGACAACAAACAAAGAAGACAAGUGAUGAGAAGUUUGGGAGAUGAGCAUGGGUUUAUUAUAUACACGUACGUCGAUCUGCAUGCAGGGCAUCAGUAGCGUAUUACUAUUAUUUAUUAAAGGUACAUAUCACAAAGGUCCAGGGGCGGAUUUAAAGGGGGGCACUGGGGGCACGGUCCCCCACUGCCCCCUUAAAUUCCUAUAAUACUCUUAUAAUUUUGACAUAAUUUUAGUGGUGUCUCUAGAAUUUUUUUUAAAAAAAAUAUAAAAGAAUGGGUCAUAAAAUUUAUAUCAUUCACUUUCCUCCUUUAAGAACCAAAUACCAAUUAUAUCAGUCAUUACUUUUGGUCCCCACUCCCCAAGUUCCCUUUACUCCUGUGGUCCCCUAUUUCACUUCACAACCCACGACUCCUCUUCUUCUGCACCCAACUAACUACUCUUUCUUUUUAUUACUUCAUCCAAUCAUCAUUAAUCAUUUACUUCCUUUGUCCCCCACUCUCCAAUUUUUCUUUGCUCUUCUGGCUCUUAGUUGUCCCCACUGAAAAUGGUCUCUCCCAUCAAAUAGUCCAAUCCUGGUUUUCCUGUCAUGAAAAUGGUGUUGUUGACUUCUUCACGCAGUCACGCAGUGUUCCAUUAAAGGAGUAAGCUUUUUGAAAACCAGGACCUGCUUUCUUCAGUUCAACUGCAAGAAACCAGUCCUUGAAGCUGACUUCUUUCCAAUUAAAUAACGUGAUACGGGGCACAAAGGAAGUAAAGGGACCUAGUCCGCCACUGAUUUGCAACUCUUUUCACCAAUUUUGGGAGACCAUCAAAAUUAGGUUCUAAACAAUUACUUCUUGUUAUUAUUUUAAAUUUGUUUGCAAAUAUAUUUCUAGAGCAUGAGACUAUUACUAUUUUAGAGAAAUUUGAAAAUUGAUUAGUUAAUGUAAUAACUAAUAAAUGGGUUAUUUGAUAAAUAUUUUAACUUGUGAAAUGGUGAUUUUAUAGAUUUAUAAUUUAUAAUUUAUUUUCCUUGAUUAGUUUCUUAUUUGGAGUUAAUGUAAUGAUGAAUAGAGGGCCAUUUGACAUAUAUUUUAACUUUUAAAUUAUUCUUGUAUGGAUCCUUUUGUCUAAUUAAAUUGAUUAGGUUCAUAUAUUGUGAUUAAUGAUUUGAUAUAGUAAUAAAUAAAUAAGUUGUGAUUUGAUAUAGUAAUGAUAUGUUGUGAUUAAUGAUUUAAUAAAUAACUUUAACUUGUAAAAUAGUUCUUGGAUAGAUUAUUAGAUUUUAUUGUACAUUUAAUAUUUUAAUUGGAUUAGUAUCUUAUAUAUUGAUUUUGAUUUCUUUAGCUAUGGAGAGAUAUUUCAAGAGGAAAUCAAUGGAAAAAGAGUCAUCUAAUAAAGAAGAAGCCAAGGAUAAUGAAAGUGCAAAAAAUGACAAUAAAAGAAGUUACUUGGAAAUUAACUUAGAUGAAUUACCUGCGGAUCCAGCCCAAAGAAAAAAAAUUGGGGAUUAUCAUCCAAACCUUCAAGAUGAAAUUCGGAGAUAUUGCUUACAAAAGGGACCAUGUCAACCUCAUGAGCAUGUUUUUCCACAAAGAAAGAUAGGAAAAAAGAUGCGUCGAUUUGUUCGGGGCUGGUUUGAUGAUUACAAGAAUUGGUUAGAAUAUAGUAUUGAAAAAGAUGCCGCUUAUUGCUUAUGUUGUUAUCUAUAUAGACCAGAUGUGGGUGAACAAUCUGGUGGUGAUAGUUUCAUUAAGGAAGGAUUCACAAAUUGGAAAAAAAAAGGAUAGAUUUGAUGUUCAUGUUGGUGGUCCUAAUAGUGCACACAAUCUGAGUUGGAGUAAAUGUCAAAGUUUAUUAAAUCAAAAUCAGCAUAUCGAAGUGGCAUUUUUUAAGCAAUCACAGAAAAUGAAGGCUGAGUAUCGGACUCGUUUAUUAGCCUCAAUAGAUUGUGCUAGAUUUCUCCUACAUCAAGGUUUGGCUUUUCGUGGUCAUGAUGAAUCUGAUACCUCUGAAAAUCAGGGAAAUUUUCUUGAACUUUUGCACUUCCUUACGGGUCAUAAUGAUGAUAUAAAGAAGGUUGUUCUUGAAAAUGCCCCUAAAAAUCUCAAACUCAUUGCUCCAGAUAUUCAAAAGGAUAUUUCAAAUGUUUUGGCGAGUGAGACUACAAUCAUUAUUGUAAAUGACAUUGGACAUGGAUUGUUUGCUAUUUUAUGUGAUGAAUCUCGUGAUGCAUCAACAAAGGAGUAAUUAGCAGUUGUUAUCCGUUACAUGGAUUCACAUGGAUAUGUGAUUGAGCGUUUUCUUGGUAUUCUACAUGUAAGAGAUACUACUGCUCUUUCACUUAAGAAAGCAAUUGAUGAUUUAUUUUCAAAGCAUGGUUUGAGCAUAUCACAAAUCCGUGGUCAAGGUUAUGAUGGUGCUAGUAACAUGCGAGGUGAAUAUAAUGGUUUAAAAACUUUGAUCAUGAAGGAAAAUGGUUCUGCAUAUUAUAUUCAUUGUUUUGCACAUCAGCUGCAAUUCUCACUUGUAAGGGUUGCAAAGAAACAUGUCCAAGUCUCUUCUAUGUAUAAUACAUUGUCUACCUUAGUGCAUGUUCUUGAAGGUUCAUCUAAAAGACAAGAAAUUCUUAGAGAACAACGCCUUAAGAAAGUCGUUGAUGAUCUAAUGACUGGAGAUCUUGUGAGUGGUCGGGGCUUAAAUCAAGAAACUAGCCUUCAAAGAGCUUGUGAUACACGUUGGGGUUCACAUUUUGGCUCGUUAUUAAAGUUGGUUCUUAUGUAUGAUUCUGUAAUAGAUGUUCUUUUGAUAAUUGAAAAUGAUGGCCUGGUGGAGCAAAGAGGUCAAGCAUAUGCACUUCUUAAUUCUUUGCAAUCUUUUGAAUUUGCAUUUAUUUUACACUUGAUGAAGAAAAUCAUGGGAAUAACGAAUGUACUAUCUGAAGCAUUACAAAGGAAGGAUCAAGAUAUUGUGAAUGCUAUGGGUCUGGUCAAAGUUUCUAAGCAACAGUUACAAGCUACUAGGGAAGAUGGAUGGGAUUUUUUACUUGAUGAAGUUUGUUUGUUUUGUGAAAAACAUGAGAUCAUCAUUCCGAAAAUGGAUGAAAUGUUCAUUACUAGUGGGAGAUCUCAAAGAAAAGUUCAGUAAAUUGCAAACCUUCACCACUAUCGAGUUGAGCUAUUUUGUGCUGUCAUAGAUUUACAACUCCAAGAACUCAACAAUCGUUUCAAUGAAAUCAAUAUGGAGUUGCUUUUGUGUAUGGCAUGCUUGAACCCAAGUGAUUCCUUUGCAGCAUUUAAUAAGAAAAAGUUGAUUCGUCUUGCAGAACAUUAUCCUUGUGAGUUUUCUAAGUUGGAUAUUCUUGCACUUGACACUGAAUUGGAUACUUAUAUUAAUGACUUGAAAUCAGCUAAGGAAUUUCUCGAUUUAAGAAAAAUCCCUGAUCUAGCUCAAAGGUUGGUGGAGACUAAGAGAGAUAUUGUGUAUCCAUUAGUUUAUAUGCUCUUAAAGUUGGCUUUGAUUUUGCCUGUUGCUACAGCUACAGUAGAAAGAGCUUUUUCAGCUAUGAAUAUAGUGAAGAAUCGGUUACGAAAUAGAAUGGGAGACACUUGCAUAAAUGAUUGUUUAGUUACUUAUAUUGAGAAAAAUAUACUUCGUGAAGUUGAAAAUGAGAAAGUUGUAAAUCGUUAUCAAAAUAUGAAAACUCGUCGUGAACAAUUGUAAAUAGUUUAGUUUGUUUUUGAAAUAAAAUUAUUAUUACAUUAAUAAUUUUGAGUUUGUCUUUUUAUGUUUUUCAUGGAAUAUACAUAUCAUUUGUACUUGUUAGUGAAUUUAUUUAUUUUUUGCUCAAAAAAUUAAAAAAAAAAGAGUAGAUAAAAAAUUUUAGUGUUAUUUUUGCUCCCACUGAGAUUUUUUUCUGGCUCCGGCACUGCAAAGGUCCAUAUCAUUUAAUUUCCAUAGAAAAGUAAAAGUUUGGUACCUUAACAUACACAAUUAAUCACCAGUCCUUCAAAUCAAGAUAUGUACAAUGUGUAAGUGAGAAUGUACAACUGAUAUUCCUAGUCUACUCUACGAGUAUCGUUACCGUAUGAAAGAAAAGGAAAGAACGAGAAGAUUUUAACAACCUUUAGUAGGCUUUUUUUUUUAAUCGACAUUUUGAGUUCUGGGAGGGAAGACUUUUUAGAGUCUUGCAGGAGUCCGUCUAAAGGGUAUUUGGAAAAUUCGACUGUCUAAUAAUCGAAUACAAUGGUGGUUCUUUCUUUCCUUUUUUUUCCUUUUUUUUUUUUUGAAUAUUUGGUACAUAGAGGUUCCAACUUUUACAAGGAGAAAGAAAAAUAGGAGAGUUUAAGGGUCAAGACCUUACGGUCAGUCACCUAAAAGCAUCCGUGCCAAUUGAGUUGAGUUUUGGGAACAAAAUUUUGGCCUUUCCAUUAUAGCAGGAUACAACUAAAUGCCCGGAUUAAUUAACUCAAUUUCCAUAAAUUUAAAAAAAAAGAGUAAGAAAUUGGUACCUCUGAUCAAUUCCAAGGGUAGAUAUAUAAUAUAAUUAUUAGUCCUUCAAAUGGAGACGAGUGUCAGUAGACUUAAAAGGAGUCCAUGAUAUUGAUAGUUGGUCUUUUGGUCACAAUAAUUAUUUCGAGAUGUUUGAUUCUUACUACCCGCCACCACUACUACCCGCCACCACCACCCACUCCUUCCUCCUUUCUCUUCCCCCUCUCUCUUCCCUUUCCCUCCCCCCGCCCCCCUUAAUCUGGCCGCAACCAAAGGCUGCGAUCUGGUCGCGGCCAGAAAGUCUGGUAGCGACUAGAUUGCGGCCUCUAGUCACAACUAGAGACCUUGAUCUGGUCUUUGGCAGAUUGAGGGAGGAAGAAAAUGGAGGGGGGGUAUUGGUGGUAGGCGGGGAUGGUGGUGGGUGGUGGGUGGUGGUGGCGGGUAGUAGUGGUGAUACGUGGAAAAUGUUAUAUAAUUCAAUUUAAAAAAAUUUUUUGUGUGUAUUUGUGAAUUAUUUUUUAUAUAUUGUAUGGAUAUGAUGUUUUUGAGUUGUUUUUAUUUGUGUAUUAUUCUAACAUUGUAUUUGAAAAUUUUAUUUUUGAAAAAUAGAUUUUUGGAUUUUUUGGUAGAAAAAUAUACUAUAUCAAUUUGAUGUAUGUGAGAUAAAAAUAAGUGUUUGAAAAUAUGAUCAUGAAAAAUAUAAAAAAAAUUCUGCAGAAAAACUUCAAGGAAUUUCUCGAGAAAAAGAAAUCCAAAAUCCUAAUUUUUUUUUCCUUUUGUUUUUAGAAAAGGAAAAAGUGCAAGCCAAAAAGCAAUAAAAUGGAUAACUUCUUUUCAUAUGAAUAUAUGAUGUUAAGUACUUUAUUUACUCAUAAAACCCAUAUUUUGGUUUAAGAAAAGCAAUACCUAAUGAAAUUGUAAAAUGAGAACGGUAACAAAGAUUAUAGUCUAAAGUACUCGUUUGAUAGGCUAGUGCAAUUUGGCGUUUCACUUGUACGCUUCAAAUGCACAUUAUCAAUCAGGCAUCCGGACGCUUGGCUAUGCAACUUGAACAAUCAUCACAUGUAGAACUGACUUUAUUCUAGUAUUUUAUAGGAAAAUAUGUACUCAAUUAGCCUGAAGUGAAUUAAAUCAUGAUUGUCAGCAUUUUAAACUUUUGAUGGUGAAGGCCUUAAUUGCUUGACAACUCCCAUGAUUAUUAUGGCUAAACUACUCAAGUUGCCUCGUUAUACUUCCAAAAAAAAAAAAAAUCUCAAUUCAAUCUUAACACUAAGAAGUGACUUGAUUUAAUCCCUUGGAAAUAACUCAUGUCAUUUUUAUGUUGAAUUAGUAGCCAAAAGAUUUAAUCGUGUAUUUUCAAUAGAACGGGGUGUAUGUGUUAUAUCAACGAUAUAUUGUUGAUGAUCAGACUAUAUGAAUUCCAAUUCUUUCAGCAAAGGUGAUAUCCAAACAACAAAAUUUCUUCAAAGACAUCUAAUAAAGAGAUUACCAAGCACCCAUGUUAUUGUUUAAGCAAUAUUAGUAUGUUUUCAUAAACAGCAUUUUAUUUGGGUUGAAAUCAAAUCAACACCUAUAUGCAUUUCAUAAACAGCAUUUUAUGAGGGAUGAAUGAGGAUGUAGGGAGAGGGACAAAACGGAGGAGGUGGAGGUGGGCUGAGUUUCUUCUGUUGAGAAGAGUCGAAGUCUCUUGAAAACCGAAGCAGAUACCGCUUGAGAUGAAAAAGGACUGAGGGUGAAGAAGAGGAAGGAGAGGAUGAUGAAGAUGUUAACGGAAGGAAAUGGGCUUGGAGCUGUUCGAGCCAUGUAAAUGUUUGUGGUUUUUGCCGCAGCAGACAACAAACAAAGAAGAGAAGUGCUGAGAAGUUUGGGAGAUGAGCAUGGGUUUAUUAUAUACACGUACGUCGAUCUGCAAGCAGGGCAUCAGUAGCGUGUUACUAUUAUUUAUUAAAGGUCCAUAUCAAAAAAAAAAAAAAUUUUUUGAUAACAAAGGUCCAUAUCAAUUUAAUUUCCAUAGAAAAGUAAAAGUUUGGUACCUUAACAUACAAGAAGGAGAGUACAUACACAAUUAAUCACCAGUCCUUCAAAUCAAAGAUAUGUACAAUGUGUAAGUGAGAAUGUACAACUGAUAUUCCUAGUCUACGAGCAGGGGCGGAGCCAGAAAAAAUUCUUAGUGGGGCAAAGCAACACUAAAAUUUUUUACCUACUAUUUUUCUAGUUUUUUAAACAAAAAAAAAAUUCACCAACAAGUACAAAUGAUGCAUAUAUUCCAUGAAAAACAUAAAAAGACAAAUUCAAAAUUAUUAAUGUAAUAAUAAUUUUAUUUCAAAAAUAAAUUAAACUAUUUACAAUUGCUCACUGCGAGUUUUUAUAUUUUGAUAACUAAUUUGGUUGUGGAAGUAAGAAUGGCUCUCGGUUGUGGAGGGAAAAUGGGGGACUAGUGGAGGGAAGGGAAAUUGGAAAGUGGGGACAAAGGAAGUGAAUGAUAUGAUUGGAUGAAUUGAUCAAGAGAAAGAGUAACUAGCUGCUUGGUUGUGGAAGGUAGUGGCUCUCGGUUGUGGGGGGAAAAUGGGGGACCAGAUGAGGGAAGGGAAAUUGAGGGAUAGGGUCCAAAGAAAGUGAAUGAUAUGAUUGGUACUUGCUAGUUAAAAUGAAAAUGAUUUUUUUUAGCUUAUUUCAAAUGAAAUUUGUGCCCCAGGUAUCAUUUUAGAAUUUUAGUUUAUGAACUAAUUUAAAAAAAUCACGUAAUUCUUUCAUAUUCUUCUAAAAAAAAAACUGUAGGGGUACAUUUAAAAUUAUAUUAAAAUUGUACAAGUAUUAUAGGAAUUUAAGAGAGACAGUGGGGUCCCGUUGCCCCCAGUGCCCCCAUCAAAUUGGAAUUUACGGUGGAAACAAGGUAGAUGCGCCGACGGCAGCUGGUGUUUCAUUUUCAUGAUGCAGACUGGGGAAAUUUUGGAGCAUUAUGCAUCCAUGCCAUUAGAUAUAUAGUGGGCUUGAUGUUAUACAAUGCAAAUUUUCUUUAAAAAAAAACUUUAAAUCAAAAUAAAUCUUGACCUAUCAAUUAUUGAUUUAAGCUAUCAAAACAUUGGCAUGUAACAUGCAAAUAAUCGUUGCUCAUAGGGCAUCAUUCCUUUCCGUCUCACACGCAGAUUAGUCCAUUGGUGGUUCUUUCUUUCCUUUUUUUUUUUUUUUUUUGAAUAUUUGGUACAUAGAGGUUCCAACUUUUACAAGGAGAAGGAAAAAUAGGAGAGUUUAAGGGUCAAGACCUUACGGUCAGUCACCUAAAAGCAUCCGUGCCAAUUGAGUUGAGUUUUGGGAACAAAAUUUUGGCCUUUCCAUUAUAGCAGGAUACAACUAAAUGCCCGGAUUAAUUAACUCAAUUUCCAUAAAUUUAAAAAAAAAGAGUAAGAAAUUGGUACCUCUGAUCAAUUCCAAGGGUAGAUAUAUAAUAUAAUUAUUAGUCCUUCAAAUGGAGACGAGUGUCAGUAGACUUAAAAGGAGUCCAUGAUAUUGAUAGUUGGUCUUUUGGUCACAAUAAUUAUUUCGAGAUGUUUGAUUCUUCGUAAUGUGGAAUAACUUUCCUCCAGACAUUCUAAAGAAACAUGAUGGAACAAGUUGCUGUUUGUGAGGUCGUAUUAAUCCUGGUGGGAACCUCUCUUGCGCAAGGAUUUUUGGGUAAUGAAUUGAUCUUUCCACAAAAACAAGUAUUUUUAUGUUUUCCUUCAUUUGUGUUCAAUUCAAUUCUCUAUAAUAUAUAUUAAUAGUACUAUUUAUCUAGAGGGGGCACCUUCAUGAAUGGACUAUCUCUAGAGGUUCUCCUUCACAUUUGACGCGCAGAUUACGCCAUUAGGCAAUUCGGGCGACUGAGCGGUCAACACAAGGCGACAUCAAAACAGUUGCGCAUUUGGCCCACCAGUACUAUGCAACCAAUCAAACUACUCCGGUCUUGAUUUAUUUUCUUCAGUUUCCAUUUCAUCUACUUCUCCACUGAACCUCUAGAGAAAGCUCAGUCGUUAACUUUGCUUGUCUGUUCAAACGUCUAACAUCAAAAUUAGAAUUUAAAUCAAAACCUUAAAGUGGGAACAAAGUGCCAUCUUUUAAAAACAAAAAAAAAACUAAUACAUCGAAACGUAAAAUUGAUAUAAUAGAUGGGAGAAAUUUCUUCGAAACUCCAAAAUGUGAUUCUCGAGUAGAUUAAUGCAAGUCUUAUAAAUUGAUUACAUUUUCAAUCAAUUCAAUUUCAGGGUAAACAUGCAACAUGCCCAAGUAUAGCUCUGCCCUGGUUUUCACGGUACAACCACUUUUUCGUUCUCAAAGAAGUCAUUAGCAUACUAAAGAAAGAAAAGGACCUAAAAGGAAAAAGAAAAGGAUCUAAUUAUACUAAGAAUCACAAAAGUUAGUUUGGUUGAGAAAAGGAAGUAGUACUUUAGAACAAACAAAGGUAGACGAUGAGAUCCUCAAAAUAUCAUAACUAUGAAAACAUUUAGUAUAUAUUUAUAUAUAUGAAGAACAACAUUUAUUUGGGUUGAAAUCAACUAUAUAUACAUAUAAAUAUAUAUAUAUAUAUAUAUAUAUAUUCUAGUAGUAGCACUAGAGGGAGGGAGUGCUCUAACAUUUAUUGGCAAGGUCGUAAGUGACCCGCAUCCCUUGCUGCUGUAUAUUCCCAAGAAGAAAUCCAAAAUCCUAAUUUUUUUUUCCUUUUGUUUUUAGAAAAGGAAAAAUGAAAGCCAAAAAGCAAUAAAAUGGAUAACUUCUUUUCAUAUGAAUAUAUGGUGUUAAGUACUUUAUUUACUCAUAAAACCCAUAUUUUGGUUUAAAAAGAAAAGCAAUACCUAAUGAAAUUGUAAAAUGAGAACGGUAACAAAGAUUAUAGUCUAAAGUACUCGUUUGAUAGGCUAGUGUAAUUUGCCGUUUCACUUGUACGCUUCAAAUGCACAUUAUCAAUCAGGUAUCAGGACGCUUGGCUAUGCAACUUGAACAAUCAUCACAUGUAGAACUGACUUUAUUCUAGUAUCCUAUAGGAAAAUAUGUACUCAAUUAGCCUGAAGUGAAUUAAAUCAUGAUUGUCAGCAUUUUAAACUUUUGAUUGCGAAGGCCUUAAUUGCUUGACAACGCCCAUGAUUACUAUGGCUAAACUACUCAGGUUGCCUCUUUUUAUACUUCCAAAAAAAAAAAAUUUAUCUCAAUUCAAUCUUUAACACUAAGAAGUGACUUGAUUUAAUCCCUUGGAAAUAACUCAUGUCAUUUUUAUGUUGAAUGAGUAGCCAAAAGAUUGAAUCGUGUAUUUCCAAUAGAACGGGGUGUAUGUGUUAUAUCAACGAUAUAUUGUUGAUGAUCAGACUAUAUGAAUUCCAAUUCUUUCAGCAAAGGUGAUAUCCAAACAACAAAAUUUCUUCAAAGACAUAUAAUAAAGAGAUUACCAAGUACCCAUGUUAUUGUUUAAGCAAUAAACAGCAUUUUAUUUGGGUUGAAAUCAAUUCAACACCUAUAUGCUUUUUAACAUUUAUUUGGGCUGAAACCAUACAUCUUGUUGGCAAGGUCGUAAGUAACCCGAAACCCCUGCUGCUGCGUGUUGCCAAUUACUGAGCGAGGUUGAGAAGUGGUCUGGAAAGCCAAACAGAACGUGCCGUCGGAAUCAGCACGAAACAGGUAAUUUUGAGGUUUCAGCGGCAGCGUCUUGCCCCCGGAGAACUGAAACGACAUCAUUGGGAAGCCAUCUCUGGUAGGCGUAGAGGAUAGAUCAUAACAAGUGUCGAGACCACCGAUCCCAGCGGCGGGAGGCAACUUUUUAGCGUACUUAACAAAGGUGUCGCGGACCGAGUUAUAUACCUGAGCUGGCAACGCUGUGAUGGUGGUACCCGAGUCGACGAUGAUUCCCCCACGCCCAUCUUCGCCUAUUUGAUAAGCCGAUGCAGGAAUGGGCACUUGUUCUCCAUUAAUGGUGAUCCCCGUGAGUUCCACGUAGUAAUAAAUCUCAGAUUUUGGGUUCAUAAUCAAAGGAACGAGGAUUGAGUCACCAGGUGGAGCUGAGUUAAACUCGAGAGUCGAGGACGAGCUGGAGUCCAAAUCCACGAGGCAGUAGGAGAAAGACUUCGCCUGAAUUUGAGAAGGAAAGCCUACUGCAGUGCCCCCAAGGCCGAGUAUGCCAGCUGCCUUGCCAAAUUGGCCUUGAUUCGCGUGCCCGCACCCGAUAGCCACUUUCUGAACCGAACCCGAACUCCCGAACGACACCGUUUCAGUGGCAAAUUCUCCAAUACUGAUGGAAUUAUCCCCGUACAACGCUCCGUAGAUGCAAGUGUUGUUUCGGCCGCACUGGUAAUUCUGGCGGCUCAAGGCGGUGCACUGCUGCGAUGUGCAGGAUAAAGGGCUGUAAGACGAGGAUCCGGAUGGGUCGAAUAUCGGGUCGGUUUGGGCGUAGCACUGACCGCAGGGCAGGCAUUGGAGCCAGUUGAUUUGGCUGCCCGUAUCCGCUAUCAGGUAGUAUUCUUUCACGGGUUGGCCCACUCCGACCCGAGCCACGUACCCUCCGCCAGACGGAGUCAGCGGAGCUUCGAGGUCCUCCGGUUGGACUUGGACGUCGGGUUUGACGUCAUGAGGGCGGUUGAAAGCGGAGAGAGCCCGCUCAAUGUUGGAGUUGAUGAGCUUGGCUCGGGCCCGGUCACCUGCGAGCCGGGAGAGUACGAGGUCGGAGUAGCUGUCGUAUGGCGGCUUUAUGACGGAUGAAUGAGGAUGCAGGGAGAGGGACAAAACGGAGGAGGUGGGCUGAGUUACUUCUGUUGAGAAGAGUCGAAGUCUCUUGAAAACUGAAGCAGAUACCGCUUGAGGUGAAAAAGGACUGAGGGUGAAGGAGAAGAAGAAGAAGAGGAUGUUAAUGGAAGGAAAUGGGCUUUGAGCUUUUCGAGCCAUGUUUGUGGUUUUGGAGCAGAAGAGAAGAUGGAAGAGAA